UCGCCGUGAUGACCUUCUUAGGACACCUUUGGAUUCAGGAUGAAACUAACCACUAAAUCUGAGCGAC
Molecule: small nucleolar RNA, 67 nt
Organism: Cynoglossus semilaevis (tongue sole)
Lineage: Eukaryota; Metazoa; Chordata; Actinopteri; Pleuronectiformes; Cynoglossidae
Gene: SNORD58
Rfam family: Small nucleolar RNA SNORD58
About the family: snoRNA U58 is found in introns 1, 3 and 6 of the ribosomal protein RPL17 gene in humans.
Source: Ensembl